Molecule: non-coding RNA, 97 nt
Organism: Mycena polygramma
Lineage: Eukaryota; Fungi; Basidiomycota; Agaricomycetes; Agaricales; Mycenaceae
Source: the annotation of a GenBank genome assembly
GGCUCGGUGGUGGAUGGUCCACACCUGCUUCCUGCGGGGCUCCAGAAUACUAAACAGCAUCAAGCAGGGAUAGUCUGUUCGAAUCAGGCCCGGGCCA